RNAcentral lists this ribosomal RNA (443 nucleotides) under Rahnella sp. Z2NS-252. Its description in RNAcentral is "bacterial SSU rRNA". It matches the Rfam family "Bacterial small subunit ribosomal RNA", at positions 65 to 496 of the family's 1533-position model. The record is from RNAcentral. Lineage: Bacteria; Pseudomonadati; Pseudomonadota; Gammaproteobacteria; Enterobacterales; Yersiniaceae.
AGCGGGCAGCGGGAAGUAGCUUUGCUACUUUGCCGGCGAGCGGCGGACGGGUGAGUAAUGUCUGGGAAACUGCCUGAUGGAGGGGGAUAACUACUGGAAACGGUAGCUAAUACCGCAUGACCUCGCAAGAGCAAAGUGGGGGACCUUCGGGCCUCACGCCAUCGGAUGUGCCCAGAUGGGAUUAGCUAGUAGGUGAGGUAAUGGCUCACCUAGGCGACGAUCCCUAGCUGUCUGAGAGGAUGACCAGCCACACUGGAACUGAGACACGGUCCAGACUCCUACGGGAGGCAGCAGUGGGGAAUAUUGCACAAUGGGCGCAAGCCUGAUGCAGCCAUGCCGCGUGUGUGAAGAAGGCCUUAGGGUUGUAAAGCACUUUCAGCGAGGAGGAAGGGUUCAGUGUUAAUAGCACUGUACAUUGACGUUACUCGCAGAAGAAGCACCGG